UCCAUUCUUCGAAACUUAAUCAUCCGAACCUGGGAUGAGUUUGUUCUUGAGCCCAUGACUCAUAUUUUCUACGUUCUACAACAUUUUUGUGAAACCUCAAUCAUUCAGAUUCAUUAACUCAUAUCCUAACUUCGUUUGGAAGUCAUAAAAAUGAUUAUUUUAACAUUUAACAUCUUUUACUUAAAUUUUCGCCAUUGCUUUGUUAUAACUUAAAUUUUAAUUCGUUCCACAUGGAAAUUUCAAAUCUAAUUAUGAAUAAUGACUUUAAACUUUUCCAUCAAUAACCUCCUAUAGAUGGUUUUCAAUUUUUCCAUCAACAACAUCAUACGGAUGGUUUUAAAUUUGUCCAUCAACAACUUUUACUAUGUUCUUCAUUUUCUAUCGUUAUUUUGAUUACGAUUCACUUUUCAUAUAUAAUUUAGUGUUUUGAAUCAGCUAAUUCUUCAUUAUUUCUCCGUAACAUUAAUACG
Molecule: long non-coding RNA, 470 nt
Filed under: Panax ginseng (ginseng)
Lineage: Eukaryota; Viridiplantae; Streptophyta; Magnoliopsida; Apiales; Araliaceae
Description: long non-coding RNA (PGIN_LNC006458)
Source: RNAcentral